CCCUAGAUGACCAGUCCCAAAUAGGACGAAACGUGCAUCCUGGAU
This 45-nucleotide non-coding RNA is filed under the name Trichobilharzia regenti. The record is from RNAcentral. Lineage: Eukaryota; Metazoa; Platyhelminthes; Trematoda; Strigeidida; Schistosomatidae.